GUGGGGAAUCUUAGACAAUGGGGGCAACCCUGAUCUAGCCAUGCCGCGUGAGUGAUGAAGGCCUUAGGGUCGUAAAGCUCUUUCGCCGGGGAAGAUAAUGACUGUACCCGGUAAAGAAACCCCGGCUAACUCCGUGCCAGCAGCCGCGGUAAUACGGCGGGGGUUAGCGUUGUUCGGAAUUACUGGGCGUAAAGCGCGCGUAGGCGGAUCGGAAAGUUGGGGGUGAAAUCCCGGGGCUCAACCCCGGCAUUGCCUUCAAAACUCCCGGUCUUGAGGUCGAGAGAGGUGAGUGGAAUUCCGAGUGUAGAGGUGAAAUUCGUAGAUAUUCGGAGGAACACCAGUGGCGAAGGCGGCUCACGGGCUCGAUACUGACGCUGAGGUGCGAAAGCGUGGGGAGCAAACAGGAUUAGAAACCCGGGUAGUCC
Molecule: ribosomal RNA, 425 nt
Filed under: uncultured bacterium
Lineage: Bacteria
Description: partial 16S ribosomal RNA
Rfam family: Bacterial small subunit ribosomal RNA
Source: RNAcentral